Molecule: long non-coding RNA, 664 nt
Organism: Brassica napus (rape)
Lineage: Eukaryota; Viridiplantae; Streptophyta; Magnoliopsida; Brassicales; Brassicaceae
Exons: 3
Source: RefSeq, a predicted model, not a curated record
UUCACACCAGAUUGAUAAAAUUAAUAAUGUAAGACCAUCAUUAACGCUGGGUUUUAGCUGGACUCUUAAGCCUAAAAUAUAAUUAAAAAAUUAAAAAAAAAAAAUUGGGUAAGAGUUGGGUUCUUUGAAGCCCUACGGAGGAGGCGCCUCUUGCGACUAUUUUUCUUCUCUCUCUUCUUUUUCCACGGUGAAUCGUUUUUUCUCAGACCAAAUUCAGUCAAAAUCAGCUUUGAGAGAGAGAUCUAUUCUUGUUCUUCGCCUCUAUGGCCGUGUUUGCGUAGCCGGCCAAGCAAAGCUCCCAUCAGACCCCAUAGCCGAAGAAGUAAGAACGAAGAAGAAGCCAUGGCAGGAGUAGGACCGAUGACUCAGGAUUGGGAGCCCGUGGUGAUCCGUAAGCGGCUUCAAGCGGCACCUCCUUGAACACCAAGAGGCUUGAUGAUGACACUGAGAACUUAGAUGAAUGUGUGCCUACUGAGUUGAAGAAAUCAAUCAUGCAAGCCCGAGGGGAGAAGAAGCUCACCCAGUCCCAAUUCGCUCAAGUACACUACUUUCUCUCUUCACUCUGUUUCUCUAGUUUUCUGUAAUUGGAUUCAUGGCGGUAAUAUGAAGAUGUGUUGGUUGUGUAGCUGAUUUAUAUUUUUUUUUAAGAACCUUUAAUUGAGUU